Molecule: non-coding RNA, 974 nt
Organism: Python bivittatus (Burmese python)
Lineage: Eukaryota; Metazoa; Chordata; Lepidosauria; Squamata; Pythonidae
Source: RefSeq, a predicted model, not a curated record
AAAAUUACAACAGAGAAAGAAAAAAGAGGGUAAGUUAACACACACUGUAAUCUAUCUUGUAUGCUGUUGAAUCUUCUUAGCUCAUGAUGGUUUACUAAAGUACAGAAAAAACAUCCAAAGUAUUAAAACUCAAUACUUGAAAAUAACAAUAAUUACUACCUAAUUAAAACCGUUAAGUGUAUUGAAAUAGAAAAGCACUAAAAUAUAACUGGUUUGGUUACCAUUACUCUGAUUUAUUUAUUUAUUCAAUUUAUAUCUCACUUUCCGCUCAAACAAUUUUUUUAAAUCAAAGCUCUUUCAGUCUACAAAGGGCUAAGAGAAAGAAUGAAUUUCAAAUAAAUAGCUGGCAGUGUGUAUGUCAACAAAAUUGAUGUUACCAGAAGAAUCACUUGUAAGUGAUUUUUAAGGGGUAAAACUGAUAAUCUUGAUGAAGAUGCAGAAUUGUAUGAGCAAAACUAAAGCAUCAAGGGCACAGGAAUCCACAGGAAGCUGCGAUUACUUCAAAAUGAUGAGAUGUGUGCUGGGAAGUUAUGCAGAUCCUGCCUUCACAUACCCAUGUUUCAUUAAACUGUAUGUGUUGUGGUUCUUGCUUCAUGAUGCAUGUUUUGUCAUUCCCGCUCAUAUUCCUGCCUGCCUACAGAUGCUCAAGAGAGGUUCAUCUCUUUGUCUAAAUAAAAGGCCCAGAUGAUGCCAUGGUGUUGCCAAGUGACACGCAGACCAAAGUUGCAAUAUUUAUCAGAUGUCAAGGCACUGUCACUAUAGAUACGAGCACUUGAGUGAGUUAAAUUCUAAGAAAAAAUGCUUUGCAGUUGAAAAGGUUGAACUGUGUGUUUCAACAGCAGUGAAUUGCCCACUACAAGAUAUUCCUUCAGAUGAACACACACCUAUGAAGAUCUGAAUCAGUAUUACUUUCCACAUUGGAGUCAUCUAAAGAGAUCUGAGACUGAGCUUUCACUUCCAGAUUCCUGCUGAGC